This 479-nucleotide ribosomal RNA is filed under the name Caridina lanceifrons. RNAcentral describes it as "partial large subunit ribosomal RNA". It matches the Rfam family "Bacterial large subunit ribosomal RNA", at positions 1911 to 2598 of the family's 2925-position model. Lineage: Eukaryota; Metazoa; Arthropoda; Malacostraca; Decapoda; Atyidae. The record is from RNAcentral.
ACUGAAAAGUUUAAAGGGCCGCGGUAUCUGAACCGUGCUAAGGUAGCAUAAUAAAUAGUCUUUUAAUUGAGGUCUAGUAUGAAUGGUCGGACAUGAAGUAAGCUGUUUUAGUUAUCUAACUUGAAUUUUACCUUUAAGUGAAAAGGCUUAAAUUAGAUGGUGGGACGAUAAGACCCUAUAAAGCUUUACAUUUUACUUAUCAGUUGAAGAAAUUAUGGUUUUCUAUUCUAGUAUAGUGUAAAUGUUUCGUUGGGGCGACGAGAAUAUAAAAUAAUAACUGUUUUUAUUUUUAAAAUAGAUUUUUUUAGGAGAGUUGAUCCUUUUUAGAGAUUAUAAGAUUUAAGUUACUUUAGGGAUAACAGCGUGAUUUUUCUUGAGAGUUCAUAUCGACAGAUAUAGUUGCGACCUCGAUGUUGAAUUAAGAUACCCCCCAGGUGUAGCAGUUUUGGAGGUAGGUCUGUUCGACCUUUAAAAUCUUA